This 276-nucleotide ribosomal RNA is filed under the name uncultured bacterium. RNAcentral describes it as "partial 16S ribosomal RNA". It matches the Rfam family "Bacterial small subunit ribosomal RNA", at positions 30 to 318 of the family's 1533-position model. The record is from RNAcentral.
AUUGAACGCUGGCGGCAGGCCUAACACAUGCAAGUCGAACGCCGUAGCAAUACGGAGUGGCAGACGGGUGAGUAACGCGUGGGAACAUACCCCUCGGUUCGGAAUAACUUAGGGAAACUUGAGCUAAUACCGGAUACGUCCGAGGUUUAACCGGUCCUCGGAGAAAGAUUUAUCGCCGGAGGAUUGGCCCGCGUCUGAUUAGCUUGUUGGUGAGGUAAUGGCUCACCAAGGCGACGAUCAGUAGCUGGUCUGAGAGGAUGAUCAGCCACAUUGGGA